AGAACAUUUUUUUUUUCUUCACAUGCAUUUCAUUAAACCAUCAACUAGAAACAUUCAACAUGUCUUUUGCUAGAAGUUUUACAAGUUGUGCUGGAGGAUUAGAAAUCCAGCCAGGCAAUAAAGUACCGUUCCUAACUGCACAUGCUAUCCAACUGGCACUUUCAUUAGCAGAUCGAGGAACAAAACUGAUAGACACAUUGACCAAACAUGACAGAAGCCUCUUUUGAUCUUGGAUAAUGGCAGCCACCUCCCAUGGAAUUAGAUCAGGGAGUGAGGAUAAAAGCGACUUGAUCUGGAGAGAAUCAAUUUCCACCAAACAGCUUCCUAGAUGCAUGUUAGCAGCAAACUUAAUUGCUGCCUGAAGGCCAAUACCUUCUGCCACAAGAGGAGAAAAACAUCGAAAUUUUGCUGCAAAUCCAUCAAUAAUAAAACCUCCAAAAUUUCGAAUCAAGAAACCAUAACCAGCUUCAGAAGUUACAAAAUUAAAUGAAGCAUCUACAUUAAUUUUAAACGUACCCUGAACUGGGGGAGACCCUACUUCUUCAACCCGAGCCCUUGAAGAAUCAACCAUAGCCAACGAAUGAAGUUGUGGAAGAGCAAGAUGACGCAGUUCAUCUGCCCCAUUCUGAGCUUUUCAAAGUGUUACCAUCGGGUUAGGGGGAAUAUCAUUAAAAAUGGCAUCAUUACGAGUUUUCCAAAUGUUCCAUAAAAAGCUGCUAAAGACAAUGCCCUUUUAUCACUGCAGUAAAACAUAUCCUGAACAGACUGCCAUCACGCUGCAAAAGACUCAAAACCUUCUUCCCUUGGUCUGAAUCCUAAAUUCGAACCAAACCACACUGCCUUAGCAUGAUCACAGAAGAAUAUCAAAUGUUCCGGAGAUUCAUCAGCAUUAAAACAUAAAGGGAAAAUUGUAGAGUCGGUACACUUCCUUCCAAACAAAUUUACCAUUGUUGCCAAGGAAUCUGCACAUGCUCUCCAAAUGAACGCUCUGAUUUUUUGAGGUAUUUUCAACGACUAUAUACCCUUCCAGAUUUUAUUACUAAAAGAUCCAGAAAUCAUUGGCAAUCCUUGCUGACUUGUCUCUUGGGCUAGUUUCAACCUAAAACAAACUGCUUUGACAGAUGGCUUGCCUGUUUUGGCAAAGUGCCAAAUUCUCUUAGCUUCAUAACGUGAUGAUCCCAGAGGAAUUUUACUAAUUUCCUGACACCCUUGGAGGGAAAAGCAAGCCAUCAGGAUUUGCUCAUCCCAUUGAUUAGUACCAUGUUUAAUCAAGUCUGCCACAUAAAUAAUUGGGCAGCCAAUAGGAGGAGAACUAGAUACCUUGAAACCUGGUAAGGUAGGAAUCCAAGGUUCUGACCAAGCAUUCAGGAAGCCUGAUCCCUUGACAUUCCAACGCAGACCAGGCAAAAGAGCUCGCCUUCCUUCAAGGAGGCUUUUCCAUCCCCGCGACGACUUAUAACCUCUAUCAGCUCCCAAAAAAUCUGAGAAAGGAAAAUAAAAACCUUUUAUAAUUCUUGCCCACAUCGACUCUGGAUAUUGGAUAAGUUUCCGUGCUUGUUUAGCCAGAAAAGAGUUAUUGAACAGGGCCAAAUCCUUAAAACCCAUUCCCCUAACGUUUUUACUCCAGGACAAUUUCUUCCAGGAUAGCCAAUGAAUAUUGGCCUUAUCAAAAGAUUGUCUCCACCAAAAUCUAGCAGCUAACUGAUGGAUCUCAUUGAUAAUAGAAGCUGGCAGCUUGAACACAGACAUCACAUUCGUCGGAAUGGCUUGAGCAACCGCUUUGAUUAGAAUUUCUUUACCGGCUAGAGACAACAUUUUACACUUCCAUCCUUUCAAUUUGUUGAGCACCCUGUCCGCAGGGCUUGCAGUUUGGACCGACCCCAAGAGAUAGGAAGACCCAGAUAUUUGCACCGCAUACCCAAGUUGAAAAUUUGAAGAAUCCCAGCAAUUUGAUUCUGAACCAGUAGUGUAGUAUUUCUACUGGAAGUGAUAUCAGACUUAUUAACGUAGGGCCUUGUUUUGCAUUGCUAUUGAAAUUGCCGUUGAAAAAAUCUAGUUAGAGAGUUUUAAAAAAUAAUUAAAAA
RNAcentral lists this unclassified non-coding RNA (2084 nucleotides) under Hevea brasiliensis (rubber tree). The record is from RNAcentral. Lineage: Eukaryota; Viridiplantae; Streptophyta; Magnoliopsida; Malpighiales; Euphorbiaceae.